Molecule: ribosomal RNA, 264 nt
Filed under: uncultured bacterium
Lineage: Bacteria
Description: partial 16S ribosomal RNA
Rfam family: Bacterial small subunit ribosomal RNA
Source: RNAcentral
GUCCACGCCGUAAACGAUGGACACUAGACGUCGGGGGAGCGACCCUCCCGGUGUCGUCGCUAACGCAGUAAGUGUCCCGCCUGGGGAGUACGGCCGCAAGGCUGAAACUCAAAGGAAUUGACGGGGGCCCGCACAAGCGGUGGAGCAUGUGGUUUAAUUCGAAGCAACGCGAAGAACCUUACCUGGGCUUGACAUGCUGGUGAAAGCCGGUGGAAACAUCGGCCCCUCUUCGGAGCGCCAGCACAGGUGCUGCAUGGCUGUCGU